UGCAUUAGAGUUUGAUCCUGGCUCAGAACGAACGCUGGCGGCGUGGAUAAGACAUGCAAGUCGAACGAGAAUUUUCGUCGUAGCAAUACGAUGGAAAGUCUAGUGGCGAACGGGUGCUUAACACGUGGGCAACCUGCCAGGAAGUGGGGGAUAGCUCGCCGAAAGGCGAAUUAAUACCGCAUGUGAUUAGAGAGGACAUCCUUUCGAAAUUAAAGUCGGGGCAACCUGACGCUUCUUGUGGGGCCCGCGGCCUAUCAGCUAGUUGGUGGGGUAAAGGCUCACCAAGGCUUUGACGGGUAGCUGGUCUGAGAGGACGACCAGCCACACUGGGACUGAGACACGGCCCAGACACCUACGGGUGGCAGCAGUCGAGAAUUUUUGACAAUGGGGGAAACCCUGAUCGAGCGACGCCGCGUGGAGGAUGAAGGUCUUCGGAUUGUAAACUCCUGUCAUUGGGGAACAAGGUGCAUACGUUAACUGCGUGCGCAUUGAUAGUACCCGAAGAGGAAGAGACGGCUAACUCUGUGCCAGCAGCCGCGGUAAUACAGAGGUCUCAAGCGUUGUUCCGAUUCUUUGGGCGUAAAGGGUGCGUAAGCGGGCGCCGGAAGUCCGGGGUGAAAUCUCGGAGCUUAACUCCGAAAUUGCAUUCGAUACCUGCCCGGCUUGAGGACUGAAAAGGAUACUGGGAUUUCACGGGGGAGCGGCGGAAAGGCGUCAAUUUCCGGGAGGACACCCGAUGGGUACGCGGGGGGCCUGGCGACAUCUGAGAGCUACGGUAGUAAAACCCAGCGAACCGAACUGGCAUAAAUAACCGGGGGACCGGGGGCGGAACGGUGACACCUGAGGGGGGAGCCACCCACCCCUUCCGGCGCGA
Molecule: ribosomal RNA, 874 nt
Filed under: uncultured Verrucomicrobiota bacterium
Lineage: Bacteria; Pseudomonadati; Verrucomicrobiota
Description: bacterial SSU rRNA
Rfam family: Bacterial small subunit ribosomal RNA
Source: RNAcentral